AAACCAACAGGGAUUGCCUCAGUAACGGCGAGUGAAGCGGCAAGAGCUCAAAUUUGAAAUCUGGCGCAAGCCCGAGUUGUAAUUUGAAGAGGAUGUCACGGUUGGGGUCGCUGCCGAAGUUCCUUGGAACAGGACGUCUUAGAGGGUGAGAAUCCCGUCCGGCUGCCGGCCUGCACCAUGUGUGACUCCUUCGAAGAGUCGAGUUGUUUGGGAAUGCAGCUCAAAAUGGGUGGUAAAUUUCAUCUAAAGCUAAAUAUUGGCGGGAGACCGAUAGCGCACAAGUAGAGUGAUCGAAAGAUGAAAAGCACUUUGAAAAGAGAGUUAAACAGUACGUGAAAUUGUUGAAAGGGAAGCGCUUGCGAUCAGACUCGCCUGCAGUUGAUCAACGUUCGUUCUCGUUCGUGCACUCUGCUGCUGGCGGGCCAGCAUCGGCCGGGACGGCGGGACAAAGGCGUCGGGAAUGUGGCUCCUCGGAGUGUUAUAGCCCGGCGUGCAAUGCCGCCAGACCCGGUCGAGGUCCGCGCUUCGGCUAGGAUGCUGGCUUAAUGGUCGUAAGCGACCCGUCUUGAAACACGGACCAAGGAGUCUAACAUCUAUGCGAGUCUUUGGGUGUCAAACCCAUGGGCGCAAUGAAAGUGAACGGAGGUGGGAGCCUUAACCGGUGCACCAUCGACCGAUCCUGAUGUUCUCGGAUGGAUUUGAGUAUGAGCAUAGCUGUUGGGACCCGAAAGAUGGUGAACUAUGCCUGAAUAGGGUGAAGCCAGAGGAAACUCUGGUGGAGGCUCGCAGCGGUUCUGACGUGCAAAUCGAUCGUCAAAUUUGGGUAUAGGGGCGAAAGACUAAUCGAACC
RNAcentral lists this ribosomal RNA (850 nucleotides) under Orbilia dryadum. Its description in RNAcentral is "partial large subunit ribosomal RNA". It matches the Rfam family "Eukaryotic large subunit ribosomal RNA", at positions 62 to 941 of the family's 3401-position model. Lineage: Eukaryota; Fungi; Ascomycota; Orbiliomycetes; Orbiliales; Orbiliaceae. The record is from RNAcentral.